This 540-nucleotide long non-coding RNA is filed under the name Panax ginseng (ginseng). RNAcentral describes it as "long non-coding RNA (PGIN_LNC007490)". The record is from RNAcentral. Lineage: Eukaryota; Viridiplantae; Streptophyta; Magnoliopsida; Apiales; Araliaceae.
GGAUAGGGUUAGGGUUUGUAAUCGCAGAAAGAGAAAUCCGAAGAUGGGCGUGGUUACGCGAUCCGAGACUCUUCGUCCAGUGACAAAUCCAUGUGAGCUUUGUAAGGUGAAAGAGAAGAUGGAAGGAGGGGAAAACCGAUUGUGUAAGCUUUGUACAGAGGAAGAGAAGAUGAAAUCAACUGCCGAAGACAAAACGAUAUAUGUACAGCUGAGGUCUGACCGUCGAGCUAUUUGGUACGCCAUUGAAGAGAAAGAGAAAUCACCUGACUCUGAAAUCAGGAAAAAGAAGAAGAAAACGAAAAAGAUGAAGAAGGGGGAUGAUUAUAUGAAAAUGGGUGGAAAUUGGAGAAUAACCAAGCUAGAUUUGCCCAAAUUACCCCCGGAUCUAAGAAAAAUGUUGUAAGGACCUCUGCUAUACCCUUCAAGUCUCGUAUCUAUCUGUUUGGCGGUCUUCGUUUCCCGGCAUGUUUUAUGGACCCUGGUGUCAGCGAUGUUCUCUCUUUUGAUGUUCGCCUUUGGGAGUGGCAUUCGUCCCCUCCU